This 253-nucleotide ribosomal RNA is filed under the name uncultured bacterium. Its description in RNAcentral is "partial 16S ribosomal RNA". It matches the Rfam family "Bacterial small subunit ribosomal RNA", at positions 524 to 776 of the family's 1533-position model. The record is from RNAcentral.
UACAGGGGGGGCGAGCGUUGUUCGGAAUUACUGGGCGUAAAGGGCUCGUAGGCGGCCAACUAAGUCAGACGUGAAAUCCCUCGGCUUAACCGGGGAACUGCAUCUGAUACUGGAUGGCUUGAGUUCGGGAGAGGGAUGCGGAAUUCCAGGUGUAGCGGUGAAAUGCGUAGAUAUCUGGAGGAACACCGGUGGCGAAGGCGGCAUCCUGGACCGACACUGACGCUGAGGAGCGAAAGCCAGGGGAGCAAACGGG